UUUCGCGACCCGCUCUCUAAACCAGCAGAAGCGUCUGGAAUAAACAGGAAGGGGAAUUUGUUUUUUAAAGCAUUCUGAGUUUCAACAUAUAUUGCCUUCUUUGUUGAAUCAGAAGCUUUUUUUAUUUGACUUAAAUUGAAGUGCAUUUAAGAAAAAAUCAGCGAUGACGCAAUCCCAAAUACGGGGUGGUGGGGGGGUUGUUUUGUUUUCUUAAGAAUUUCCACUUUCACAAAUGAUUCAGGAAGGAAGUUUUCAGGUAGCAUAAACUGUCUCAAGAACACAGUGGUUCAGAAACGCUAGCACGGUGUGCUAGGUGAAGAAAGGCAGCCUCAAAAAGACCAACAAGGCGUGGCAGGGGAGAGCCUCGCUGGGCCGCAGCGGAAGUGACCUUAGAGGCGGGCGGGGCGGUGGCCGUGGAAAACAGCGCCGCCUGCUGGUCGAAAGAGAAAAAGCUCGGAUCUUGCCAGAGGCUGCGGCGUGGCUCCCUGGACAGUUACUCCCCACAGAUAUUUUCAAGAUGCUGCCCGUUAUGCCCCUUCCCCAACAAAAUUGAAAGUAAUGGGCACAACCAGGUAAGUCUUUCUGUAGAGAAGAAAUCUUAGAGGCCCGUUGUGGUUUGGGAAUACAGUGUUUCAAAGACCUUCACUGUUGUUAACACUCCCUAAAGCUAAAAAUGGUGGAUUUGAUUAUUAUGGUAUAAUUGUUACUUAAAACAAUCCAUAAAGGAGACUGAAAAAUAGAACCCUAUAGGGGCUCUCUUUCAUUUAUCCCAUCCUGCUUUAUUUACAAAAUAAUAAAAGUGGUGAUCAGAAGCAAAUUGGAAAAAAACGGGCAGAAGGUGGAAUUUCAAGGUGAUUGUGCUUAUCCUUUCUUAUUAUGGCCCCUCAUUUUUAUUCCAGGGUUGUUGCAGUUUCAUUUCUGGAGUCCCUCCUCCUCUCCCCACUUCCUUUUUCUCUUCACUCAUUUGACAGGAGCCUCCGCAGUCAUCGGCCUAGAAUACGUCAUCGUCAUCCACUGGGAGAGAAGUGUGGUACCACCUUUCUCCCCCUAUGGCUGAAGCCCGCGGAAAGAAGAUGAAUGUUGCGUUUCUGCUCCUGACCCAGCACGAUUGUUGGGAACUGUUAACCUGCAAGAUGAUGCCAAAGCGCAGCCUCCCUCCUUUUAUGCUGUAUAGAAUUUUAGGUUGCCCUUCAUUAAGCUGAUGCUUUCCCCUACAGAACCCUGUCCUUCACAUUGCCCAAAUGAUGUGCUAAUAACCUUCUCCUCUCUUCUACUUGCAGAGAUUCAGUGCAUUAAGCCUAAGAGUUGUACACACACACCCCGCCCCCCACCCUUUGUCUUCUUUUAAGGGAGUGAAGACCCAUAGGUGGACAAUUUCAUUUAAUUAGUCAUGCAGUGUAUCAGGUCGCUGUUCUCUUGACAUGAAAAUUUCCAUCUCCCAUCAAGGCAUAGCUGUAAGCAUUUAUUAUAGGCUCUGGUUCAAAGCAGGCCCUCUGUUUUGAGCAGGAGCACCAGAAAUUAGGAACCUGACUGGAAGAGAAGCUUCGUGAGGUCCAGAAGGAAAGUUGGGCCCCCAAGUCCUGUUUAUGAGUGCUGUAGCCUUCACAAUCUGGAUCCGACCAAAUGAACACUGAGAGCAGUGUCUGGCGUACAAAGAAGAAUAAUGGAUGUGUAGUAACUUGACUGAGUCGGGGACAGGAUCCAAGACAUGCCUGACAUUUGUUUAUCAGCAGAGAAACGAAGUAAAGGAGGAGAUGUCUCCCUCAGUCUUACAAAAGUGUCCUUCGGGGAGACGAUACAGGAACAGGGCGCUGAUAACAUUAAUACUGUGCAGGCAAGCACACGCCUCCCCACAUCCCCAGGACUGCUGAACCCAGUGUUAUUAAACUAAUCGGCAGGGACACAGCUCUGAGCCUCUCCUGCCACAGUCCUCAGAGGGAGUCGGCUCAGACAAAGCAAAGUGGCUUUUCCGAGGGGGAGGGGUGCCCACUUUCUCUUUGUUCUUCCUUGGAAAAUAGGCUCUCUCUCAAGUCUCAUAACCAGCUGCUUUCAUCUCUCAGAGGAAGGCAAAGGAAGUUAAUUCCCAAUAAAAAUUUGGACAGCAUAUUUUUUAGAGCCCUGAACUCUGACUGUAAAAUGCAGGGGCAAACUCAUUACAAUUCUAACACACUGUAAGUUUUAUUCUGGGUUUCUAGGCAAAAAUUUCAAAAAGGUGCCUCUCCUUAUCAAAUAAAAAUAUAAUAAAAAGGUCAUCUUCAGAAAGGGGUAAUAGAGACAGUGCUUUGAGUCCUUCUUAACCUAAUAAUAGAUGUCGUGCACUCUAUUCUUAAGAAUCUCUUCCUCAGAGGUAUGAUUUAAUGAGCAUAUUCCUUUGUCUGCUAAGAAAUAAGGGCUCUCUGAGAAGUCACACUUUUUUAUACUACGUGAUUUUUUUUUUCUCAUAAGAACGAUUUAAUAUAGCUCCUUUAGAGAUAAAAACAUUUAGUAUUCCCUGUCCCUGACUUACGUGUGGAAUUAAGAGAAAGGAUGUUUGUUCUUGUAUCAGGAAUAGGCCUGCCACACCCCAGGCACUCAGAGCAUCUGCUCCCUGGACUGAUUCUUAAACCAAAGCUACACAUGGCUUCCGUGCUUGACAGCUGAGGUGGCCUUUUAUAUCCAGUUGGAAUUUCUGUUUGGGCCUGCUUGAAUGGGUUUGCCCACGCAACAGAAAAUGGACUCUGUUGGUCAGAGAAAGCUUAAUGGGCUGAGGACUAGGCUAAUAUUUUGGAAAUGUUGUAGGUUCAUUUCCUGGGAAUUUACCCCCCAAAAUAAAGUACCUUCGGUCCCUUCAAGUGGCAUCUUCAGGCUCUUUAAGACAAUUCCAUUUUGGGGGGAUUUUAAGUGCUCACUAAAUAUCAGGUAUUUUGUCCAGAGUAACAGAAUAUCUGCAUAUUUGUAUUCAAUCCUUGGGCCCUGUGGAAAGCAGCUCUCUACCAGCUCCAGGGGAACCUCAUUCUUUCCAGCAGGUUAAAGAGGAAGUGAGAACAACCUCCAGCUAGGGAACCAGCCCAGUGUAAGGACGUGAUCUGAUGGCUCAAGUUCUACAGCCUCACCUUUGAAACAGAGCCAGGUUCUCAUCUGCUUUUGCUGGAUGUGCCUGUGUUAAAAGGCGCAGGGACCUGAAGAUUUCUAGUGAAGCCUGGGGGGAAAACAGACCAGCUUACUAAAGGGAAAGACACGGCAGUUCUACGCAAGAGCAGCAAAUACUCAUUGCUUCAUAAGACAGAGCUCUAGAAGGAUUCAGGCCCUGACACUGCGUCCUGCAUCCAUUCUUCUGAAGCAGAUCCCUCGCCCCCGCCUCCAGUUUCCGUAUCUGUAAAAUGGCAUCAAUAAUUCUUGAACCUUUAUCAUAUCAUGUUACACUGGUAUUAUAUAAGAAUUAGAUAAUAAAAUUCUAGGACUGGAAAGAAUCUUAGAGAUCAUCUAGUCUAGUAUCUUUGUUUGGAAGACUUGAAAAACACAGGCUGAAAGAAGGAGGCGACAGGCGUAGUGUUAUGAAAUUAGUUCACAGGCUUUAAACACAUGGUGCUGAACAACAGCUUGCUAAUCAGCUUUGUCACUAACAGGCCUUUUCCUAGUUUAGCCUAUGCUUGAUAAUAAGCUUUAUUGGCCAGGAAAGCAACUUUCUUUCUCCAAGGAAGGAAUUCCCCUCACCCAAGCACUAUGUAUUCAGAAAUGCUUCCCUUUACUAAGAACCAACCCAGUGGUCUUGUAAUAGAACCUGAGUCACCCAAUGCCACAUGCCUCUCACAGUGGCCCAGGAUGACACUCAAUAGGCUGAGGUCUGGGGCCCUGCUCUCAAAUAAGAGUGGGCCUGUCUUUGACCUCAGCCUGGCUGUGCCUACAGCCUCAAGAGCUGUGCGCAGUAGAGACUGUCAGGAACAAAUUUGUUCUUCUUGGAACAAAUCUAGUGUUUCUAGGUUGAAAUGUAAAUCCCUUCAUUUAUCAUUCAUUCCCUUACAACCUUUUAAUAAAAGCCCAUGUUUUGCUAAUCCCCUGAAAGCUGAUAAGACUCCUACAGUGAGUAGGACCCAGCCUCAAGGAGUUUUAGAAAGAACCAGAAGUGUAAAUUGCUUAGGUGCAGUGGAGCACGGUGGGAACCUGUAGGAAGGAGGAGAUGGUCAGUUUGCCUUGGUGGGGGUUUAAGGAAUCAGAAAAAUGCCAUAAAAGAGGUAAUACUUGAGCUGAGCUUUGGAAAAUGAAGGUUAUUUUCCAGGUGGAAGUGAGGCGAGUGCACGGCAUUCAGAUAGAGAGUGAGUCUGGUGCUUGGUGGUGGUGGGGGGAGGGGGGUGGGAUUUUUUUGGUCUGCUUAGUAUGAGGAAGCAUCGCAGUAAACUGGAAAUUUAGGUAGAGAUCAGUGAAAACAUUAUAUGACAAAUGAAAAAGUUUAGAUUUUAUUGUGGCAGCUCAUAGGGACCUUUGAAGAGUUUCAAACAGGGGAAUAACAUGAUCCAAACUGUAGUUUUGAAAGAUGGCUCUGGCAGCAGUGUAGAAGAUAGAAAAGGAAGAGGUGGGAAGAAGCAAGACCCAAGGCAGAGAGACAAUGCAAAAAUUUAGGUGAAACAAGACAGCUAAUUCAAUCUCUUUAAAGAGCCAGGAGGGAGAAUUCCCUGGUGGUCCAAUGGUUAAGACUCCACACUUCCACUGCAGGGGGCCCAGGUUCAAUUUCUGGUGGA
Molecule: non-coding RNA, 4715 nt
Organism: Odocoileus virginianus texanus
Lineage: Eukaryota; Metazoa; Chordata; Mammalia; Artiodactyla; Cervidae
Source: RefSeq, a predicted model, not a curated record